UUCCAGACUCCUACGGGGGCAGCAGUGAGGAAUAUUGGUCAAUGGCCGGAAGGCUGAACCAGCCAUGCCGCGUGAAGGUCAGUGCCCUAUGGGCGUUAAACUUCUUUUGUGCGGGAGCAAUAAUGGUCACGUGUGGCCAGACGAGAGUACCGUACGAAUAAGCAUCGGCUAACUCCGUGCCAGCAGCCGCGGUAAUACGGGGGAUGCAAGCGUUAUCCGGAUUUAUUGGGUUUAAAGGGUGCGUAGGCUGUGAGGUAAGUCAGCGGUGAAAUGCCCCCGCUCAACGGGGUGAAGUGCCAUUGAUACUGCCUUGCUGGAAUGCGGAUGCCGUGGGAGGAAUGUGUGGUGUAGCGGUGAAAUGCAUAGAUAUCACGCAGAACUCCGAUUGCGAAGGCAGCAUACCGGCGCCCAACUGACGCUGAAGCACGAAAGCGUGGGUAUCGAACAGGAUUAGAUACCCGCGUAC
This 466-nucleotide ribosomal RNA is filed under the name uncultured bacterium. Its description in RNAcentral is "bacterial SSU rRNA". It matches the Rfam family "Bacterial small subunit ribosomal RNA", at positions 329 to 793 of the family's 1533-position model. The record is from RNAcentral.